RNAcentral lists this ribosomal RNA (244 nucleotides) under uncultured bacterium. RNAcentral describes it as "partial 16S ribosomal RNA". It matches the Rfam family "Bacterial small subunit ribosomal RNA", at positions 796 to 1041 of the family's 1533-position model. The record is from RNAcentral.
CAUACCGUAAACGAUGAUUACUAGGUGUGGGGAGAUUGACCCUCUCCGUGCCGCAGUUAACACAAUAAGUAAUCCACCUGGGGAGUACGACCGCAAGGUUGAAACUCAAAGGAAUUGACGGGGGCCCGCACAAGCAGUGGAGUAUGUGGUUUAAUUCGAAGCAACGCGAAGAACCUUACCAGGUCUUGACAUCCAAUGACGCAUGCAGAGAUGCAUGUUUCCUUCGGGACAUUGAGACAGGUGG